This 440-nucleotide ribosomal RNA is filed under the name uncultured bacterium. RNAcentral describes it as "partial 16S ribosomal RNA". It matches the Rfam family "Bacterial small subunit ribosomal RNA", at positions 338 to 795 of the family's 1533-position model. The record is from RNAcentral.
CCUACGGGGGGCAGCAGUGGGGAAUAUUGCACAAUGGGGGAAACCCUGAUGCAGCGACGCCGCGUGAGUGAAGAAGUAUUUCGGUACGUAAAGCUCUAUCAGCAGGGAAGAAAAUGACGGUACCUGACUAAGAAGCCCCGGCUAACGACGUGCCAGCAGCCGCGGGAAUACGAAGGGGGCAAGCGUUAUCCGGAUUUACUGGGUGUAUAGGGAGCGUAGACGGCAGCGCAAGUCUGAAGUGAAAUCCCAUGGCUUAACCAUGGAACUGCUUUGGAAACUGUGCAGCUGGAGUGCAGGAGAGUUCAGCUGAAUUCCUAGUGUAGCGGUGACAUGCGUAGAUAUUAGGCGGAACCCCAGUGGCGAAGGCGGCUUACUGGACUGUAACUGACGUUGCGGCUCGAAAGCGUGGGGAGCAAACAGGAUUAGAUACCCCUGUAGUC